ACGUAGGGUGCAAGCGUUAUCCGGAAUUAUUGGGCGUAAAGAGCUCGUAGGCGGUUUGUCGCGUCUGCUGUGAAAACUGGAGGCUCAACCUCCAGCCUGCAGUGGGUACGGGCAAACUAGAGUGCGGUAGGGGAGAUUGGAAUUCUUGGUGUAGCGGUGAAAUGCGUAGAUAUCAAGAGGAACACCUGAGGUGAAGACGGGUUGCUGGGCUGACACUGACGCUGAGGCGCGAAAGCUAGGGUAGCAAACGGGA
RNAcentral lists this ribosomal RNA (253 nucleotides) under uncultured prokaryote. RNAcentral's name for it is "partial 16S ribosomal RNA". It matches the Rfam family "Bacterial small subunit ribosomal RNA", at positions 525 to 777 of the family's 1533-position model. The record is from RNAcentral.